Molecule: non-coding RNA, 192 nt
Filed under: Palpitomonas bilix
Lineage: Eukaryota
Source: RNAcentral
GCGAAAGGGGAGAAUGAGAGAAGAGAAGAGGAGGAAAAGAGGGAAAAAAUGCCACCUUUCUCUACUUCUAGUCGACUGCUCGAGUGUACCACCCCUUCCACUCUUCGCCUAGUACUUCCCUCUCUUCUCCUUCUUCCCUCUUUACCCUCUGCGUUGUGCGAUUGUCAAAGUAUGUGUGAAAGUUUAGAAAGA